RNAcentral lists this transfer RNA (67 nucleotides) under Papilio epycides. RNAcentral describes it as "tRNA-Tyr". The record is from RNAcentral. Lineage: Eukaryota; Metazoa; Arthropoda; Insecta; Lepidoptera; Papilionidae.
AAUAAAAUGGCUGAAGUAAUUAAGCGAUAAAUUGUAAAUUUAUUUAUGAGAAAAAUCUCUUUUAUUA